This 624-nucleotide long non-coding RNA is filed under the name Dermacentor andersoni. Its description in RNAcentral is "uncharacterized LOC126539189". The record is from RNAcentral. Lineage: Eukaryota; Metazoa; Arthropoda; Arachnida; Ixodida; Ixodidae.
UUCAGGGCCUCAAACAAUGAGAUAGUGACGGCGGUAAUUCUCCCGUGAAAUACAAAGGUAAGCUGCUGGGUUGAACGCCUAUAAUUGAGCUAGGCCUUCCCGCUAUUCCUUCGACAGCGAGUUGCACAGAAGCUGUCUGGGAAGACCGUGCGCUGAAGGAGUCCACGUCGCCUGCCGGGAACAGGAGUACCAAGGAACAUGUUGCGAGCCACUCUGUUUGUCGUCAUACUUUGUGGUGCGGUGCUUUGUAGGAGUACGGGCUUGAAAGGAUCGCCUGAAUGCGUCAAGCCAGAUUGUUCCACACACCGAAAUGGACAGAAUAUGAGUUGUACGAACCCAUGCGAGGGAUACUUCUGCAAGGAUGGACGUCUCAUGACCCUCAAGUGCAUAGGAGCGGACGACCCACUCUGCGACGCUCCUUACGGUGGGACUGGACCGUAUCCUGAUUGCUGUGGUCCAGUGAGGUGCAGAAAAUCCUCAGGAAAGGGCAGAUUUCGAAGGCCUUGAAUGACUUCGAGACCUCGGUCUGAAGAAAACCGGAAGGAUACAAGUUCACAUUGACUGAGCACAGGCGACUAAGAGGGAGCGCAAGGAAGUUUCAGGAAAAAAUCAGACAGUUCCAUA